GAGUUUGAUCCUGGCUCAGGAUGAACGCUGGCGGCGUGCUUAACACAUGCAAGUCGAGCGAAGCACUUAAGUCUGAUUCUUCGGAUGAAGACUUUUGUGACUGAGCGGCGGACGGGUGAGUAACGCGUGGGUAACCUGCCUCAUACAGGGGGAUAACAGUUAGAAAUGACUGCUAAUACCGCAUAAGCGCACAGAGCUGCAUGGCUCGGUGUGAAAAACUCCGGUGGUAUAAGAUGGACCCGCGUUGGAUUAGCUAGUUGGUGAGGUAACGGCCCACCAAGGCGACGAUCCAUAGCCGGCCUGAGAGGGUGAACGGCCACAUUGGGACUGAGACACGGCCCAGACUCCUACGGGAGGCAGCAGUGGGGAAUAUUGCACAAUGGGGGAAACCCUGAUGCAGCGACGCCGCGUGAAGGAAGAAGUAUCUCGGUAUGUAAACUUCUAUCAGCAGGGAAGAAAAUGACGGUACCUGACUAAGAAGCCCCGGCUAACUACGUGCCAGCCGCCGCGGUAAUAC
This 517-nucleotide ribosomal RNA is filed under the name uncultured bacterium. RNAcentral's name for it is "bacterial SSU rRNA". It matches the Rfam family "Bacterial small subunit ribosomal RNA", at positions 9 to 526 of the family's 1533-position model. The record is from RNAcentral.